Molecule: ribosomal RNA, 274 nt
Filed under: uncultured bacterium
Lineage: Bacteria
Description: partial 16S ribosomal RNA
Rfam family: Bacterial small subunit ribosomal RNA
Source: RNAcentral
AUACGGAGGGUGCAAGCGUUACUCGGAAUCACUGGGCGUAAAGUGCGCGCAGGCGGUCUUUUAAGUUGGAUGUGAAAGCCUACGGCUCAACCGUAGAACUGCAUCCAAAACUAUUAGACUAGAGUGUGGGAGAGGAAGAUGGAAUUAGUUGUGUAGGGGUAAAAUCCGUAGAGAUAACUAGGAAUACCAAAAGCGAAGGCAAUCUUCUGGAACACUACUGACGCUGAGGCGCGAAAGCGUGGGGAGCAAACAGGAUUAGAUACCCGGGUAGUCC